This 569-nucleotide long non-coding RNA is filed under the name Citrus maxima (pomelo). Its description in RNAcentral is "long non-coding RNA (CMAX_LNC002907)". The record is from RNAcentral. Lineage: Eukaryota; Viridiplantae; Streptophyta; Magnoliopsida; Sapindales; Rutaceae.
CCAAAAGGAAUGCCAAGGUCAGCGUCAAAGUUGGCUAGAACGUCAUCAAGAGUAGCAUCACCGAAGAGGAGGAACCCAAAAAUGCUUGUCAUUAUGUACACAGUUGAGCACAAAGCAAGUGAGGUUCGCACAACCCCUUUAAUGUGUGUGGAGUCCUCAAGUUCAUUAUCUAUGCUGUGAACUGCAAAAGAAGUGCUCAAAAUGUCAAUACUAGUAACGCAGCAAAUACCGUAUAAGACAAAAAAUAAAAAAUAAAAUAAAUCACCGCAAGGUUGAGAGUCAAAUCACUGACAGAAGUUUAGUCUAAAGCCACAACAUUGAAGAUUAAGCCCCAGGAAAAUGUCUCAACUCUAUUUCAACCAUAAAAAACUUGAAAGGAUUCGGCUUGCUUACCAUUAUAGUGGCAGAUGAAUGCUGUGACCAGAACAGGGACUACAGUGAAGAGGUUAAUGAGAGAUGUAAAAUCAGUUACGUCGGGCAAUAUUCUUGGCAUUCCUAAUCCUCCACUUAUUAACUUCACAAUUGAAAUCCCGACAGUGAUCACAACAAAUGCAACUGCCAGGGCAACU